ACCGAUGACCAUGACUAUGAUGUGAAGAUGCGCGCCGUGAUGAAAUUCCUUGGCGAAGGCGACAAGGUGAAGGUCACCCUGCGCUUCCGUGGCCGCGAAAUGGCGCACCAGGAUCUGGGGCUCGAACUGCUGAACCGCGUGGCCGCCGAUGUCGGCGAUGUGGGCAAGAUCGAGUCGAUGCCAAAGCUCGAAGGCCGCCAGAUGGUGAUGAUGAUCGCGCCGAAAUAAGGCCUGUUUCCAUGCGGACCAGCAAGGGCCGGGCUUUUGCCCGGCUUUUUGCUGCGGCCUUCUUCUUUGCCCAAAUA
This 305-nucleotide unclassified non-coding RNA is filed under the name Gemmobacter aquatilis. RNAcentral describes it as "Long range pseudoknot". The record is from RNAcentral. Lineage: Bacteria; Pseudomonadati; Pseudomonadota; Alphaproteobacteria; Rhodobacterales; Paracoccaceae.